ACUCCUACGGGAGGCAGCAGUAGGGAAUCUUCCACAAUGGACGAAAGUCUGAUGGAGCAACGCCGCGUGAGUGAAGAAGGUUUUCGGAUCGUAAAACUCUGUUGUAAGGGAAGAACACGUACGAGAGUAACUGCUCGUACCUUGACGGUACCUUAUUAGAAAGCCACGGCUAACUACGUGCCAGCAGCCGCGGUAAUACGUAGGUGGCAAGCGUUGUCCGGAAUUAUUGGGCGUAAAGCGCGCGCAGGCGGUCCUUUAAGUCUGAUGUGAAAGCCCACGGCUCAACCGUGGAGGGUCAUUGGAAACUGGGGGACUUGAGUACAGAAGAGGAAAGCGGAAUUCCAAGUGUAGCGGUGAAAUGCGUAGAGAUUUGGAGGAACACCAGUGGCGAAGGCGGCUUUCUGGUCUGUAACUGACGCUGAGGCGCGAAAGCGUGGGGAGCAAACAGGAUUAGAUACCCUGGUAGUCCACGCCGUAAACGAUGAGUGCUAAGUGUUAGGGGGUUUCCGCCCCUUAGUGCUGCAGCUAACGCAUUAAGCACUCCGCCUGGGGAGUACGA
RNAcentral lists this ribosomal RNA (559 nucleotides) under uncultured bacterium. RNAcentral describes it as "bacterial SSU rRNA". It matches the Rfam family "Bacterial small subunit ribosomal RNA", at positions 335 to 885 of the family's 1533-position model. The record is from RNAcentral.